CGUAGGGUGCGAGCGUUAAUCGGAAUUACUGGGCGUAAAGUGUGCGCAGGUGGCCGCGCAUGUCGAGUGUGAAAUCCCCGGGCUUAACUUGGGAAUUGCGCUCGAAACUACGUGGCUAGAGUGUGGCAGAGGAAGGUGGAAUUCCACGUGUAGCGGUGAAAUGCGUAGAGAUGUGGAGGAACACCGAUGGCGAAGGCAGCCUUCUGGGCCAACACUGACGCUCAUGCACGAAAGCGUGGGGAGCAAACAGGAUUAGAUACCCUGGUAGUCCACGCCCUAAACGAUGAUGACUAGUUGUUGGAGGAGUUAAAUCCUUUAGUAACGCAGCUAACGCGUGAAGUCAUCCGCCUGGGGAGUACGGUCGCAAGAUUA
Molecule: ribosomal RNA, 372 nt
Filed under: uncultured organism
Description: bacterial SSU rRNA
Rfam family: Bacterial small subunit ribosomal RNA
Source: RNAcentral